Molecule: ribosomal RNA, 491 nt
Filed under: uncultured bacterium
Lineage: Bacteria
Description: partial 16S ribosomal RNA
Rfam family: Bacterial small subunit ribosomal RNA
Source: RNAcentral
AGUGAACGCUGGCGGUAGGCCUAACACAUGCAAGUCGAACGGCAGCACAGUAAGAGCUUGCUCUUACGGGUGGCGAGUGGCGGACGGGUGAGGAAUACAUCGGAAUCUACUUUUUCGUGGGGGAUAAUGUAGGGAAACUUACGCUAAUACCGCAUACGACCUACGGGUGAAAGCAGGGGAUCUUCGGACCUUGCGCGAUUGAAUGAGCCGAUGUCGGAUUAGCUAGUUGGCGGGGUAAAGGCCCACCAAGGCGACGAUCCGUAGCUGGUCUGAGAGGAUGAUCAGCCACACUGGAGCUGAGACACGGUCCAGACUCCGACGGGAGGCGCAGUGGGGAAUAUUGGGCAAUGGGCGCAAGCCUGAUCCAGCCAUACCGCGUGGGUGAAGAAGGCCUUCGGGUUGUAAAGCCCUUUUGUUGGGAAAGAAAAGCAGCAGGUUAAUACCCCGCUGUUCUGACGGUACCCAAAGAAUAAGCACCGGCUAACUUCGUG